UUUUUUGUUUGAUUGUUUAGGGUUUAGGGUUUAGGGUUUAGGGUUUAGGAAAAAAAGACAUAUUAAAAAAACAUAU
RNAcentral lists this small RNA (76 nucleotides) under Arabidopsis thaliana (thale cress). RNAcentral's name for it is "ATSL215290". Lineage: Eukaryota; Viridiplantae; Streptophyta; Magnoliopsida; Brassicales; Brassicaceae. The record is from RNAcentral.